GAUGAACGCUGGCGGCGUGCCUAAUACAUGCAAGUCGAGCGAACGGACGAGAAGCUUGCUUCUCUGAUGUUAGCGGCGGACGGUUGAGUAACACGUGGAUAACCUACCUAUAAGACUGGGAUAUCUUCGGGAAACCGGAGCUAAUACCGGAUAAUAUUUUGAACCGCAUGGUUCAAAAGUGAAAGACGGUCUUGCUGUCACUUAUAGAUGGAUCCGCGCUGCAUUAGCUAGUUGGUAAGGUAACGGCUUACCAAGGCAACGAUGCAUAGCCGACCUGAGAGGGUGAUCGGCCACACUGGAACUGAGACACGGUCCAGACUCCUACGGGAGGCAGCAGUAGGGAAUCUUCCGCAAUGGGCGAAAGCCUGACGGAGCAACGCCGCGUGAGUGAUGAAGGUCUUCGGAUCGUAAAACUCUGUUAUUAGGGAAGAACAUAUGUGUAAGUAACUGUGCACAUCUUGACGGUACCUAAUCAGAAAGCCACGGCUAACUACGUG
This 497-nucleotide ribosomal RNA is filed under the name uncultured bacterium. RNAcentral's name for it is "partial 16S ribosomal RNA". It matches the Rfam family "Bacterial small subunit ribosomal RNA", at positions 28 to 507 of the family's 1533-position model. The record is from RNAcentral.